GAGUGGCGGACGGGUGAGUAAUGUCUGGGAAACUGCCUGAUGGAGGGGGAUAACUACUGGAAACGGUAGCUAAUACCGCAUAACGUCGCAAGACCAAAGAGGGGGACCUUCGGGCCUCUUGCCAUCGGAUGUGCCCAGAUGGGAUUAGCUAGUAGGUGGGGUAACGGCUCACCUAGGCGACGAUCCCUAGCUGGUCUGAGAGGAUGACCAGCCACACUGGAACUGAGACACGGUCCAGACUCCUACGGGAGGCAGCAGUGGGGAAUAUUGCAC
RNAcentral lists this ribosomal RNA (273 nucleotides) under Escherichia coli. RNAcentral's name for it is "partial 16S ribosomal RNA". It matches the Rfam family "Bacterial small subunit ribosomal RNA", at positions 93 to 369 of the family's 1533-position model. Lineage: Bacteria; Pseudomonadati; Pseudomonadota; Gammaproteobacteria; Enterobacterales; Enterobacteriaceae. The record is from RNAcentral.